This 600-nucleotide ribosomal RNA is filed under the name uncultured bacterium. RNAcentral describes it as "bacterial SSU rRNA". It matches the Rfam family "Bacterial small subunit ribosomal RNA", at positions 34 to 626 of the family's 1533-position model. The record is from RNAcentral.
CGCUGGCGGCGUGCCUAACACAUGCAAGUCGAACGCGAAAGUUUCUUCGGAAAUGAGUAGAGUGGCGCACGGGUGAGUAACGCGUGGAUUAUCUACCUACUGGUACGGGACAACAGUUGGAAACGACUGCUAAUACCGUAUACGCUGGUAACGGGAAAGGGGGCCUCUUCUUGAAAGCUCUCGCCAGUAGAUGAGUCCGCGUUUCAUUAGCUAGACGGUGGGGUAACGGCCUACCGUGGCAACGAUGAAUAGCAGGCCUGAGAGGGUGGCCUGCCACACUGGGACUGGAACACGGCCCAGACUCCUACGGGAGGCAGCAGUGGGGAAUAUUGCGCAAUGGACGAAAGUCUGACGCAGCGACGCCGCGUGGAGGAUGAAGGUUUUCGGAUCGUAAACUCCUGUCAAGAGGGAAGAAACCUAUUAUGGAUAAUACUCAUAGUAAUUGACGGUACCUCUAGAGGAAGCACCGGCUAAUUCAGUGCCAGCAGCCGCGGUAAUACUGAAGGUGCAAGCGUUAAUCGGAAUCACUGGGCGUAAAGCGCUCGUAGGUGGCUUUGUAAGUCAGGUGUGAAAGCCCACGGCUCAACCGUGGAAUUGCAC